CGGCGUGCCUAAUACAUGCAAGUCGAGCGAACAGAUGAGAAGCUUGCUUCUCUGAUGUUAGCGGCGGACGGGUGAGUAACACGUGGGUAACCUACCUAUAAGACUGGGAUAACUCCGGGAAACCGGGGCUAAUACCGGAUAAUAUUUUGAACCGCAUGGUUCAAUAGUGAAAGACGGUUUCGGCUGUCACUUAUAGAUGGACCCGCGCCGUAUUAGCUAGUUGGUAAGGUAACGGCUUACCAAGGCGACGAUACGUAGCCGACCUGAGAGGGUGAUCGGCCACACUGGAACUGAGACACGGUCCAGACUCCUACGGGAGGCAGCAGUAGGGAAUCUUCCGCAAUGGGCGAAAGCCUGACGGAGCAACGCCGCGUGAGUGAUGAAGGUCUUCGGAUCGUAAAACUCUGUUGUUAGGGAAGAACAAAUUUGUUAGUAACUGAACAAGUCUUGACGGUACCUAACCAGAAAGCCACGGCUAACUACGUGCCAGCAGCCGCGGUAAUACGUAGGUGGCAAGCGUUAUCCGGAAUUAUUGGGCGUAAAGCGCGCGUAGGCGGUUUCUUAAGUCUGAUGUGAAAGCCCACGGCUCAACCGUGGAGGGUCAUUGGAAACUGGGAAACUUGAGUGCAGAAGAGGAGAGUGGAAUUCCAUGUGUAGCGGUGAAAUGCGCAGAGAUAUGGAGGAACACCAGUGGCGAAGGCGGCUCUCUGGUCUGUAACUGACGCUGAUGUGCGAAAGCGUGGGGAUCAAACAGGAUUAGAUACCCUGGUAGUCCACGCCGUAAACGAUGAGUGCUAAGUGUUAGGGGGUUUCCGCCCCUUAGUGCUGCAGCUAACGCAUUAAGCACUCCGCCUGGGGAGUACGACCGCAAGGUUGAAACUCAAAGGAAUUGACGGGGACCCGCACAAGCGGUGGAGCAUGUGGUUUAAUUCGAAGCAACGCGAAGAACCUUACCAAAUCUUGACAUCCUUUGACCGCUCUAGAGAUAGAGUCUUCCCCUUCGGGGGACAAAGUGACAGGUGGUGCAUGGUUGUCGUCAGCUCGUGUCGUGAGAUGUUGGGUUAAGUCCCGCAACGAGCGCAACCCUUAAGCUUAGUUGCCAUCAUUAAGUUGGGCACUCUAGGUUGACUGCCGGUGACAAACCGGAGGAAGGUGGGGAUGACGUCAAAUCAUCAUGCCCCUUAUGAUUUGGGCUACACACGUGCUACAAUGGAUAAUACAAAGGGCAGCGAAUCCGCGAGGCCAAGCAAAUCCCAUAAAAUUAUUCUCAGUUCGGAUUGUAGUCUGCAACUCGACUACAUGAAGCUGGAAUCGCUAGUAAUCGUAGAUCAGCAUGCUACGGUGAAUACGUUCCCGGGUCUUGUACACACCGCCCGUCACACCACGAGAGUUUGUAACACCCGAAGCCGGUGGAGUAACCUUUUAGGAGCUAGCCGUCGAAGGUGGG
RNAcentral lists this ribosomal RNA (1447 nucleotides) under Staphylococcus sp. HaNA3. Its description in RNAcentral is "bacterial SSU rRNA". It matches the Rfam family "Bacterial small subunit ribosomal RNA". The record is from RNAcentral. Lineage: Bacteria; Bacillati; Bacillota; Bacilli; Caryophanales; Staphylococcaceae.